GGGAGUGUUGGAGACUUGGUCCCCUCGCCUCAGGCAGGUGGGGCGGAGAAGCAGUGGUCCGCGGGAACCCUGGGGAAGCCCCAGUGCUCUUCUGUGCACCCUCUUAGGUACUCUGAAGUCGGCAUCCAGGGGGGCCAGCUCUGAAACCGGCAUCUCUUCUUCCUCACUGCCUCCCGCUCCAAGUGGGCUGUUUCUCGCACCUACUUCACGCGGGUCGCGACAUCUGGGUGCUGGGAAGGGAGGUCAGCGGCUUAUGACUCAACUUUGGAACGGCCGAGAGAAGCAAGAAGAGAAGAUGGAUGAUAGCCUAGGAAGAGGACUUCUGGCCCUGGCUGCGAGUUGGGUGACCUCAGACCAUUCACUUUGAGGAAAGACAGCUGCUGCCAUGUCAUGAGGACACUCAACCAAUCCAUGGCAACGUCCACAUGGUAUGGAACUGGACUUCCUGCCCACAGCUAUGUGAGGGAACCUCUUGGAAGCAAACACUGAGAAAUCUGGCUCCUGAUCACAGUGAUCUAAAGUAAGGCCUCAGACAGAGGAGAGUAUUCCAGAGCAAAACCUACC
Molecule: long non-coding RNA, 564 nt
Organism: Balaenoptera ricei (Rice's whale)
Lineage: Eukaryota; Metazoa; Chordata; Mammalia; Artiodactyla; Balaenopteridae
Exons: 4
Source: RefSeq, a predicted model, not a curated record